AUUGAACGCUGGCGGAAUGCUUUACACAUGCAAGUCGAACGGUAGAGGGGGGCAACCCCUUGAGAGUGGCGAACGGGUGAGUAAUAUAUCGGAACGUGCCCAGUCGUGGGGAUAACGUAGCGAAAGUUACGCUAAUACCGCAUACGAUCUAAGGAUGAAAGCGGGGGACUCGCAAGAGCCUCGCGCGAUUGGAGCGGCCGAUAUCAGAUUAGGUAGUCGGUGGGGUAAAGGCUCACCAAGCCAACGAUCUGUAGCUGGUCUGAGAGGACGACCAGCCACACUGGAACUGAGACACGGUCCAGACUCCUACGGGAGGCAGCAGUGGGGAAUUUUGGACAAUGGACGCAAGGUCUGAUCCAGCCAUUCCGCGUGCAGGAUGAAGGCCCUCGGGUUGUAAACUG
RNAcentral lists this ribosomal RNA (401 nucleotides) under uncultured bacterium. RNAcentral describes it as "bacterial SSU rRNA". It matches the Rfam family "Bacterial small subunit ribosomal RNA", at positions 30 to 432 of the family's 1533-position model. The record is from RNAcentral.